UCAGAGCUCCAUUGCCAUGGCAGAUAAAGAUCCAGAGAGGAAACAUCGGGGCUGUACCCGUGGACUCAAGGACUCAGCUCUGCCCUGCGGUGGGCACGCAGAUGGACAUAGCCUCGACGGGUGGACGUGGUUGUGGGCGCGUGACAUGCUGGAUCAUGACACGCCAACGUGGAAGUCCUUGACGGUGAGAACCUGGAGCCAUCGUCGCCGGGUGAGACGGAAGGGACACCGCCAUGCUUUGCGCGCAGCAGUUUCAAGGCGCAGAAGGCAAACGGGAUGCCCACGUGAAACUAUGCUGCAGCAGUGCCCGCAAAUGUGCCCGGGCUCGCACAGGAUUCCGACGUGGCAAGUCCCAGAGGAGCCAGAGACACGCAGAAUGAGGUUUCUCCUGAGCAGGAAGCGUGCCCGUGAGCAACCAGCUGAGAAGUCGACCCAUCACAUGUGAAAAUGAGAAAGUCCCGUCGAGGCCAGACCCCGCUGUCCUUGGAAAGGUGCGCAAUUGAUCCAGUUCAGACGUCGGGGGCUGUCUUGGUGUUGAGUUGAUUUCUUCCAAGGGGUGAGGGAGCAAUUCAGGUUCCCUGCCCAGCGGGUGCUCUGCCUCCCUAGUUCCGGAGGCUGGACUUUCAAGACCUGCUGAGAGCCAUCUUCCUGGUUCAUCAAUGGACGUUCUCUCCAUCAGGACAGAGACAAGACAGUUCCUUCUUACCCGUGAGAGAUACAUGUAUUGUCCAUGACUCCGCAGGAAAUUGAUUUCCCCAACCCGAUGCAGAGAUGGGGAAGGGGGGAGCCAAAAGAAGGGUUUGCUGUCCAUCUUUGGCGCCAGAGGAGAAGUCAGCCCCCAGAAGCUAAGCACUGAGAAGUCCAGUCUUCCACAUCCAGGGGUUUCCAGAUUCCCACUCGUGUAAGAAAUGCAGCGUGAUGUCCCAGUUUUCGUGCUUUUCUUGAGAUGUGGUCCCCUUGGAGGAGCUUCCCCCGCCAGGAUGGAAUUUCAGAGCUUUCGGCUCGAGAAGAAGGGAAAUGCCCCGAACAGCCACCCCCCAGGCCCCUUGUGGCCGCUGAGAAGUUGGGGAGGAUGCAGCCAUAAAGGAGGAUGUGAAAAGUAGGCGCGAUCGCAAGGCACGAAUCUCGGAAUCUUCGUGUUUCAUCGGGAAGGCAGAGGAGGAAGGAAUCUGCGAGGUGCAGCCGCCUCUUCUGACCUCAGGAUGGACGGAGAGGGCGUGAAGGACCCGUCAGUGACCAGCUGUUGCACAGAGAGCCCAGGGGAAGGGGGUGCCCUGGCGGGCACAUGGGAACCGAUGCUGCGGCUCACGAGAAGUUGGAGGAACAAACUGCUUUGUCCCAGGAGAAGAGGAGCAGGAUGGAACAGAUGCCCGCUGUAAUCGUGGGCGGAACCGGAGGGACGGACGCAACGCUUGGCGCUUCCGAUUCUGACAGUGGCUGACCUCGCGGGAGAUGGAUGCAGGAGGGUCCAGAUGUUCCGAUGAGGAAACGGAGGCCACUAAGUGUUGUGUAACGUCCCAAGGGGACCCAGCUCUGAAGCGGUGGAGUCAGAAUGGGUUGCUUAACAGCCACCCCCACCCUCGGCUCGGAAGACGUCCACACCCAGGUAUGAAAAUGCCCUGUGGGAGUGUCUGUUGCUGCUCAGUGGGUUAAGAACCCAACAUAGCGUCCGUCCAAGGGAUGCGGGUUUGAUCCCUGGCCUCGCUCGGCGAGUUAAGGAUCUGGUGUUGCCACAGGCUGUGGUGUAGGUCACAGGUGCGGCUCGGAGCCUAUGUUUCGGUGGCUGUGGUGUAGACUGGCAGCUGCAGCACUGAUUCGACCCCUAGCUCGGGAACUUCCAUGUGCUGCGGGGGUGGCCCUGAAAAGAAAAUAAAAAAGAAAGAAAGCAAAUGCCCUGUGGAAUGACCACAUGAUAGUGACACAGUCUCGUGGCCUUUCUCUUGGGAACAGGCACACCUCCUUCCGAGCCACCUAAGUUCCUGCCUCUUGACUUUCUAGACACCCUUCACUGUUUAAAGGGGGGAGAACAAUAAGAAGACAAAGCAAAUGCUCCUUUUUUGGGUCCUUUUUAAAACAUUUAUUGACAUAGAGCUGAUAUAUCAGCUUGUGAUCAUCUCUGCGAUACAACAAACUCACGAGCUCCUGUUAUUUGUAGACUUUUUGAUGAUGGCCAUUCUGACUGGUGCAAGGUGGUCCCUCAGUGUAACUUUGAUUCGCAUUUCUCUAAUAAUAAGCGAUGGGGAGCAUCCUUUCAUAUGCUUGUUCUUUGGAGAAACGUCUGUUCAGGUCUUCUGCCCAUCUUUUGAUUGGGUUGUUUGGCUUUUUUGAUAUCAAGCUUCACGGGUUGUUUGUGCCUUUUGGAGAUUAGUCCCUUGUGUGUCACUUCAUUUGCAAAUGUUUUCAGCCAUUUCGUGAGUGGCCUUUUUGUUUCGUUUGAUUUCCUUGGCUGUGCAAAUGUGUUUAAGUUUAUGUAGGUCCCAUGUGUUUCUGUUUUUAUUUUCAUUACUCUAAGCAGUGGAUCCAAAAAGAAAUUGCUGCAGAUUAUGUCAAAGAAUGUUCUGCCUCUGUUCUCCUCCAGGAGUUUAAUCAUAUCUGGUCUUACAUUUAGGUCUUUAAUCCAUUUUGAGUUUAUUUUCCUGUAUGAUAUUAGAGAAAGCUGGGAGUUCCUGUCGGGGUUCAGUGGAACUGAAUCCAACUAGGAACCGUGAGGUUGCAGAUUCAAUCCCUGGCCUCGCUCAGUGGGUUAAGGAUCUGGUGUGGCCGUGAGCUGUGGUGUAGGUCGCAGACAUGGCUUGGAUCUGGCAUUGCUGUGACUCUGGCAUAGGAGGGCAGCUAUACCUCCAAUUAGACCCAUAGCCUGGGAACCUCCAUGUGCUGCGGUGCGGUCCUAAAAAGACGGAAAGACAGAGAAUGCUAUCAUUUCAUUCUUUUGCAUGGAGCUGUCCAGUUUUCCCAGCACCACUUAUUGAAGAGCCUGUCUUUUCUCCAUUGUAUAUUCUUGCCUCCUUUGUCAUAAAUUAAUUGUCCGUAGGUGUGCGGGUUUAUCCUGUUCCAUUAAUCCACAUUUCUGAUUUGCGUCAGUGCCAUACUGUUUUGAUGACUCUAGUUCUGUGAUAUAAUCUGAUGUCAGGGAGCCUGAUUCCCCCGGUUCUGUUUCUUUUUCAGGAUGGCUUUGGCUGUUUGGGCUCUUAUGUGUUUCCAUAUAAAUUUAAAAAUAUUUUGUUCUAGUUCUGUUAAAAAAUGUCAAGGCAAUCUACAGUCUCAAUUCAUUAGUUUCUUAGAUCCGAGGCACAGGUCCAUAAAUGCCUAACAACAGAGACAGACCAGCAAAAUGUUCAUGCAGUUUAGAUUCUGAGAACUUGACUUGUGUUUUUAUUCUAGGUUUUGAUUCAUAUUUUUUCAAAAAAUCAGAGUUUAGAAUUUGUGACAAAUUGGCAGUGUUGUGUUGUGACUCAGUGGGUUACGAAUCUGAUUAGUAUCCAUGAGGGAUGCAGGUUCAAUCCCUGUCCUUGCUCAGUGGGUCAAGGAUCCUGCAUUGCCAUGAUCUGUGGUGUAGGUCACAGAUGCUGUCUGGAUCUGGCAUUGCUGUGGUUAGUAUAGGCUGGCAGCUGCAGUUCUGAUUCAGCCUAGGAACGUCCAUGUGCUGAGGGUGCAGCCCUAGGGGGAAAAAAAAAAAGAAUUUGGGACAGGUUGGGAUGGGUCAUGAAGGAAAAGACCCCACAAUCUAUAUCCAGCACACAGCAGGGUUUCCAUGCAGAAGACAGUGUUGUCAGCACAGAGAUUCAGUUAAAAAAUGGAGGUUUUGAGAAACUCUCUCUCUGCUCACUCAGGAGUGUUAUCCUGAGACAGAUCCCAAAG
Molecule: long non-coding RNA, 3858 nt
Filed under: Sus scrofa (pig)
Lineage: Eukaryota; Metazoa; Chordata; Mammalia; Artiodactyla; Suidae
Description: lncRNA (ENSSSCG00035026538.1)
Source: RNAcentral